UACGUAGGGACCGAGCGUUGUCCGGAAUCAUUGGGCGUAAAGAGCGUGUAGGCGGCCUUUUAAGUCCUGCGUGAAAUCCUGCGACUCAACCGCAGACGGUCGUGGGAAACUGGAAGGCUAGAGUGCGGGAGAGGAGAGUGGAAUUCCUGGUGUAGCGGUGGAAUGCGCAGAUAUCAGGAGGAACACCGGUGGCGAAGGCGGGUCUCUGGGCAGUAACUGACGCUGAGGAGCGAAAGCGUGGGGAGCGAACAGG
This 253-nucleotide ribosomal RNA is filed under the name uncultured bacterium. RNAcentral describes it as "partial 16S ribosomal RNA". It matches the Rfam family "Bacterial small subunit ribosomal RNA", at positions 524 to 776 of the family's 1533-position model. The record is from RNAcentral.